AGCUUUGUACAGUGGCAGUAUCGUAGCCAAUGAGGUCUGAGGCGCGAUUAUUGCUAAUAGAGUAAGUCUCAAAAUCAAGUAGUGUUACUCCUCCAACUUUGUUUUUUUAAAAAAA
RNAcentral lists this small nuclear RNA (115 nucleotides) under Mandrillus leucophaeus (drill). RNAcentral's name for it is "U4 spliceosomal RNA (ENSMLEG00000003166.1)". It matches the Rfam family "U4 spliceosomal RNA". From Rfam's summary of the family: U4 small nuclear RNA (U4 snRNA) is a component of the major U2-dependent spliceosome. The structure of U4 snRNA from yeast and human has been reported. U4 snRNA presents a k-turn RNA motif in the 5p-SL related to recognition of Snu13 protein. The record is from RNAcentral. Lineage: Eukaryota; Metazoa; Chordata; Mammalia; Primates; Cercopithecidae.